UCCACCGAGAAUGAGAGGCAGCGCUGAGCAGAGCACUGCUCCUUCCUCCAGCCUCAUCUCUAGCUUGGCUGGGGGGCACCUUGGACCCUCCACCUCAUGAUUCGGCAAGGUCUAGGUGGAGUUAUAAAGACGUGACUGAUCAUGCAUUGCAUUUCCUAACCACAGAGCCUGCAGCUUCCCAACCAGGACGGCGUGAAGGGAAUGGGAAGUCUCCGCCACCACACCGCGCAGGGCACACCACUGUGAUAGUGCACCAAGGAGGUACUGGAUGAUUUCUUCCUGGAAAAAUAAAUGGAACAUAAACUGAUGGAGUGUGGUAUCACUGAUUUAAGGAGAAGCUGGAGCAGAUGAUGUUGAAGCAAGGUCUGAGCACCCCUUUCCCAGUGGAGGUACUGGGAUAGGAGACUCACAAUCAUCUCCCAUCAUCACUUCCACUCCUGAGAGAUAAGGGGCACACCUGUAUCAUGGUCACGAGCGCAAAAGAAGCUUGUGUAGAUGUACCUGAGCUUACUUCAGAAACACAGGCUUGACCUUCAAGAGUUGCUGCUAAUUUGUUCAGUGUUCAUACAGUAUGUAGCUGUAUGAACUGUCCAUUACUACUCCUCCGAGGUGCUGCUGCGAUACAGAUUUCAGCCACCUUUCCUUUUGUCUGUGCACCUUUAUCAGUGCAGCUGAAGGGAAUACUGUGUGGGCUCUGAAUUCCUCUCCAAAGACCAUGUAAAUACUUAGACAGUUCGUGCUGGUCCCUGAGCUACUGCUGCUAGUGUUAAACUAACUAGUUAAAGCCGGUUUGCAUACAUUUGCAGCUACAGCAGAAGUCGAGUGAUAAAUAUUCCCAAAUGUAGCUAUGCAAAUAGUGGCAAAUUCUGAAUAAAUGUAUGAAAUGCAUUAUAGUAGUCACAAAUUCUUCUCUUUUUCCUUUAAGAAAAAACAAAAGACAAAUUUGGCUUUAUGGCACAGGCCAGGUUCUCUUUUAUAACCUUUUGAAUUUUGUACAUCCUUACAAAAAGGGCUACAUCCUACAAAAGAGCUAUAAACCAAUGGUAAACAUUCAAGGAUAAUUUUAGCAUGGACUGUGGUAAAUC
This is a long non-coding RNA of Harpia harpyja (harpy eagle), 1085 nucleotides long. RefSeq lists it as uncharacterized. The transcript has 4 exons. Lineage: Eukaryota; Metazoa; Chordata; Aves; Accipitriformes; Accipitridae. The record is from RefSeq and is a predicted model, not a curated record.